This 254-nucleotide ribosomal RNA is filed under the name uncultured bacterium. RNAcentral's name for it is "partial 16S ribosomal RNA". It matches the Rfam family "Bacterial small subunit ribosomal RNA", at positions 524 to 777 of the family's 1533-position model. The record is from RNAcentral.
UACGUAGGGACCAAGCGUUGUCCGGAAUCAUUGGGCGUAAAGAGCUUGUAGGCGGUCUGUCGCGUCUGCUGUGAAAAUCCGGGGCUCAACCCCGGACUUGCAGUGGGUACGGGCAGACUAGAGUGUGGUAGGGGAGACUGGAAUUCCUGGUGUAGCGGUGAAAUGCGUAGAUAUCUGGAGGAACACCGGUGGCGAAGGCGGCAUCCUGGACCGGCAUUGACGCUGAGGCGCGAAAGCUAGGGGAGCAAACGGGG